This is a non-coding RNA of Zootermopsis nevadensis, 1469 nucleotides long. The record is from RefSeq and is a predicted model, not a curated record. NCBI's taxonomy places the organism in Eukaryota, Metazoa, Arthropoda, Insecta, Blattodea, Termopsidae.
GUUGUAUUUGCUGGUGCUGAGAUUUCGAAUGUCACCAUAUUUGUGGAAAGGAGAAAGGCUUUAAAGCACAGUGAAAGUAAAAUAUGUGGCAACAGAAGUUGAAUGGGGCUCAUCUGAUGUGUGUGUGGGAAGUAGUUGCAGAGUUUUUAGUGACAGUAGUGGCUGCUGUUAAAUGGCCUGUAACACCUUGUUGCUAUCCACCUGACACAAAAUAGGAUGUUGGGGACCAAUAUUUCUCCAAGACACAGCAUAUUAAUUGGCCCACAAAAUGCAGCUCGUAGUUAGAUCCACAUAACUGUGUGUUCAUAAGAGGGAACAGUACAACAAUGCAAUAAUACAGACUGGUGUAAAACAAAGUGCUCAAAUGCCACAAUAAAAAUAGUACAGAUUUGAAGCUCCAUUGUCAAUAGGCAUAGGAAACAGAAUGAGGAUAGACAUUCGUAGCCUUUGGAGAAAGAUUCCUCGUCACUAAUGUGCGAUGUACAGGAAUAUCAGUAUGUUCGUCUUGCAGCGUCAAGUAAUACGUGUUUAGCAAUGGUGUGCUCCCCAGACUGCAAGUAGGUGUUCGAUCAACUGUGUAAUAAGAGUGUUGUUUCUGUCUUUUUUGGGGUGGGGCGAACUUGAUAUGUUGAAUGUGAUAGCAUUUUUUUUCUGGUGAUAGCUGCGGAGAAGCAGCUUGAUUGAUCCAUGGGACUUUACUGAGGUUGAAGGCUGCGUCACCUGACCUGACUACUGGUUGCCAGGAAAAGAGUGGAGUAUGUGCAGAAACACUUUGCUGGCUCUCUGAUAUGACAACAGGAAAUCGGCUGUUAUCAUGAAGGACCUCAUGUCUGCGAGAGAUUGAUCUCUGUCUCAACUUGACAUGCGUUGUGGGUAGCGGAUUACAAGAAAUAGAAUGUUCCUCCAGAUUCUACUGGGCGGCGUGCUGUGUGUCACCUGACCUGCGUACUGCUUGCCAGAGAAGCAUUGGAGUAUGUGCGGCAACAGUUGGCAGACUGAGUUGAUUUCAGAACAGGAAACUUACUGCCAUGACUGGCGUAUGUAGUUCAUGUGCAGCGAGUUGGUAGCGAGGAUGUUUCCAUGUGGGAGUUUCGGUUUCUAGUUUGUUCUGUGAUGUCUCUGGUCUGUUCUUUCCGCGCAUCACGUAGUUCAUUUGGGUCGGCACUAUAAUUCUUUGUGGCCACGUUCUUAGAGAUGUGAAAGAAGACUGGCAUUGGGAAUAUUUGUCUCGGUUGGUAGUGAGGUCGUGCUUCGGUUUAGUUAAUGUUUGAAUGCUAAAAUGAUUUUGAGUUCAUAAUGGCAAAUAUUUAGUCUCUUCAAAUGCCUUAAUGCAAGAAUCAUUGCUGUAAGUUUCUGUGUGGGAACAGUGUGCCUCUUGGGUUGUAAGUGGGUUACGGAAUUAUCUGGUGUUCUCAUUUGUCGGUAGGUGUACAAUCAACUGCAGAAUAAGAGUGCUGAUUCUGUAUGCA